Molecule: ribosomal RNA, 719 nt
Filed under: Romilius sp. OSUC 248084
Lineage: Eukaryota; Metazoa; Arthropoda; Insecta; Hymenoptera; Scelionidae
Description: partial 28S ribosomal RNA
Rfam family: Eukaryotic large subunit ribosomal RNA
Source: RNAcentral
GAAUGAGGAGACUCAACGUCAGCGGAGUUGGCUUCCUUGUGGAUAGCGAUGUUUGAGACGGUACUUUUAUCGGUAUUUAGUCGAUUACACGCGUCCACUGUGGUAUGUCCGGCUACGUCGGCGUGCACUUCUCCUCUAGUAGAACGUCGCGACCCGCUGGGUGUCGGUUUAAGGGCCAAGAUCGUAGACUGUUCCGCGUCGUUUCGGCGUUCGGUUAACAGACGCUUGGAUCCCCGACCGGCUACUCGGCGGUAAACAUCAAGGUAUCGAGCCGCACUCGAAUGCGUUCAGACUCGUUGCAAGCUCGACCAUACAUAUUUCCCGGAUGUUGCGGACAAAGUGCCGUCACUGGGGUUGGUCGGCUGUUGGUUGACGAUGUUUUCUCGAACUGGCUUAAUAUUUGAACAAAGGAUACCGGUCAGCGACGCUAUUGCUUUGGGUACUUUCAGGACCCGUCUUGAAACACGGACCAAGGAGUCUAACAUGUGCGCGAGUCAUUGGGACAUGAUAAACCUAAAGGCGCAUUGAAAGAGAAUAUCGGCCUUGCGUCGAUUGAGGGAGGAUGGGCGACCUCGCGGUCGCUUCGCACUCCCGGGGCGUCUCGUUGUCAUUGCGACUUGAGGCGCACCCAGAGCGUACACGUUGGGACCCGAAAGAUGGUGAACUAUGCCUGGUCAGGACGAAGUCAGGGGAAACCCUGAUGGAGGUCCGUAGCGAUU